Molecule: non-coding RNA, 122 nt
Organism: Gossypium hirsutum (cotton)
Lineage: Eukaryota; Viridiplantae; Streptophyta; Magnoliopsida; Malvales; Malvaceae
Source: Rfam
UGUUAAACAUUUCAUCCAUUUCUUAUUUAAAACUGGCAUGGCUAACAGAAUAACCAAGUAAUAACACGUUGUUGACGUACAAAAACCAGUUUUUAAUAGUAAAAUGGAUGGAAUUUUCAACA